RNAcentral lists this ribosomal RNA (759 nucleotides) under Ectopseudomonas oleovorans. RNAcentral describes it as "bacterial SSU rRNA". It matches the Rfam family "Bacterial small subunit ribosomal RNA", at positions 42 to 806 of the family's 1533-position model. Lineage: Bacteria; Pseudomonadati; Pseudomonadota; Gammaproteobacteria; Pseudomonadales; Pseudomonadaceae. The record is from RNAcentral.
GCGCAGCCUACACAUGCAGUCGAGCGGAUGAAGGGAGCUUGCUCUCUGAUUUAGCGGCGGACGGGUGAGUAAUGCCUAGGAAUCUGCCUGGUAGUGGGGGAUAACGUUCCGAAAGGAACGCUAAUACCGCAUACGUCCUACGGGAGAAAGCAGGGGACCUUCGGGCCUUGCGCUAUCAGAUGAGCCUAGGUCGGAUUAGCUAGUUGGUGAGGUAAUGGCUCACCAAGGCGACGAUCCGUAACUGGUCUGAGAGGAUGAUCAGUCACACUGGAACUGAGACACGGUCCAGACUCCUACGGGAGGCAGCAGUGGGGAAUAUUGGACAAUGGGCGAAAGCCUGAUCCAGCCAUGCCGCGUGUGUGAAGAAGGUCUUCGGAUUGUAAAGCACUUUAAGUUGGGAGGAAGGGCAGUAACCUAAUACGUUGCUGUUUUGACGUUACCGACAGAAUAAGCACCGGCUAACUUCGUGCCAGCAGCCGCGUAAUACGAAGGGUGCAAGCGUUAAUCGGAUUACUGGGCGUAAAGCGCGCGUAGGUGGUUCGUUAAGUUGGAUGUGAAGCCCCGGGCUCAACCUGGGAACUGCAUCCAAAACUGGCGAGCUAGAGUACGGUAGAGGGUGGUGAAUUUCCUGUGUAGCGGUGAAAUGCGUAGAUAUAGGAAGGAACACAGUGGCGAAGCCGACCACCUGCCUGAUACUGACACUGAGGUGCAAAGCGUGGGAGCAACAGCAUUAGAUACCCUGGUAGUCCACGGCGUAAC